AAACAGCCUCCUUCAAAAUGCAGCUUGACUAAUUCAUGGCACAAAGCUGGAAUAACCCUGCCAGGUCUUAGAAGCUUUAAGAUUCAUCGUUUUGAACUUGAUACACAUAGUACAGCGCCUUAAAAACGAAUCAUCUGCUAGUUCACUAUUUUCUACUUACAAUCACUCCCUCCCAGGGCAUGUAAUUAAUUUACUGAGCUUAAAAAAAAAAAAUC
Colobus angolensis palliatus is the source of this 215-nucleotide unclassified non-coding RNA. NCBI's taxonomy places the organism in Eukaryota, Metazoa, Chordata, Mammalia, Primates, Cercopithecidae. The record is from Ensembl.